AAAGACUGAAUCUGUUUUAUUGAGUGCAGUUUUGAAGGUUGGAAGUGAUGGAGAAGACAGAGAGAAGGUUCCAGAGGGAGGGUGCAGCUUUAAGGUUGGCAUCACGUGUCAGAAGCGAAGGUCAGAGAGUGCUGACUGGUGGAUCCCAAGCCAGUGUGGAGAUACAAUCUCUCCACGUCCUGGGUCUUCCCCGAGGCCUCUCUCUCAACUGACUCCUUUCCCCGGAAAGGAGGAGUGGCUCUGCCCAGAACGCCUCAGAGAAUUUAGAGGUGCUGAUCCUCAUCCCGAUGCUUCCCACACGGCUGCAAACAGCUCCGAAACAAGAUAGAUGAUCUGCAACCCUGGCGAAGGCCAACUCCACCGAAAACGACUCUGACCUACUGCCGAGAACCAGAACACUGCUCUUGCUUUGGGCCAAAAGGGAUUGGAUGGCCCCAAGAAGGCCUUCCCUCUCCGCGUUCUCCCGCAGCACCUCGCACAGUAUCUCUCCAGGUCCACAAAACACAUAUAGACCGGAUAAGCAAAGUCCCAGGC
Gasterosteus aculeatus aculeatus (three-spined stickleback) is the source of this 534-nucleotide long non-coding RNA. Lineage: Eukaryota; Metazoa; Chordata; Actinopteri; Perciformes; Gasterosteidae. The record is from Ensembl.